This 355-nucleotide unclassified non-coding RNA is filed under the name Hevea brasiliensis (rubber tree). Lineage: Eukaryota; Viridiplantae; Streptophyta; Magnoliopsida; Malpighiales; Euphorbiaceae. The record is from RNAcentral.
CUGAUUAGUUCCAUGAACAAAAAUCCUAAAUUACAGUCUCAUUCUUGCUGCAAUUUCAUGAACUAGAUCCAUCAAAACACCCUAAUUCUUGACACAAUUUCAAACACAAUCUAGUGGUGUUAAAAAAUUCUCGCCUUAUGAUUUCUUCAAUCUGGUCAUGGACCAGGAAGAUUUGUCUUUUCAUGAUUAAUGCCCCCCGCGAAUCAUGAUAUUGUUGCUGCAUCAUCGUCCACCACUGCUGACAAUGACACCAUUCUGUCUGUCACUGCUGCUAUUGCCAAGGAUGCUGCCUUGCAUUUCCAGUCUCAUUGAUUUGUGGAGUGCCUCGUUAUUUUGCAUCAGCUCAAGUUAAAGA